Molecule: long non-coding RNA, 382 nt
Filed under: Aquilegia coerulea
Lineage: Eukaryota; Viridiplantae; Streptophyta; Magnoliopsida; Ranunculales; Ranunculaceae
Description: long non-coding RNA (ACOE_LNC001867)
Source: RNAcentral
UUUUUGAUGUUUGAUAAAGUUUCGGAGAAUUUGGCGUAUUUGGAGUCAACUAUCUAUACACCGGAUUUUUUGGUCAAAAUACACCCAUUCACCAAAAAAACUCGGCGAAUCCACCAUUUUUUCGCCCACCAAAUAGGUGUUUUUUCAUUCACCGUGAAUUCGCCAAAGAUUAUUCGCCAGACUAUAUAACAUAAAAAAAAAAAAAAAACACAACCUAAAACUCGAUCUCUCUCUCUCUCUCUAAUGGCGGCCGCAACCUAAAACUCGAUCUCUCUUUCUCACCCUCACCACCGCAAGAAAGCAUGAUUAGGUGUUGGCGCUCAAAAGUCACCACCACGUCAUGGAGAAAUUUGAAAUUUCUUUCCAAUCCAAAUUCUUAUUU